Molecule: transfer RNA, 54 nt
Filed under: Carychium tridentatum
Lineage: Eukaryota; Metazoa; Mollusca; Gastropoda; Ellobiida; Ellobiidae
Description: tRNA-Met
Source: RNAcentral
CUAACAUUUAAAAGCUGUUGGGCUCAUAACCCAAAAAUGAUAAAAAAAUCCCAU